Molecule: non-coding RNA, 24 nt
Filed under: Cricetulus griseus (Chinese hamster)
Lineage: Eukaryota; Metazoa; Chordata; Mammalia; Rodentia; Cricetidae
Source: RNAcentral
CAAUAAGGAGGACUACAGAUAUGU